Panthera uncia (snow leopard) is the source of this 1166-nucleotide long non-coding RNA. RefSeq lists it as uncharacterized. The record is from RefSeq and is a predicted model, not a curated record. Lineage: Eukaryota; Metazoa; Chordata; Mammalia; Carnivora; Felidae. The transcript is spliced from 6 exons.
AAUGUUCUUUCAUUCCAGGCUUCUGUAGAUGUUAACUUAGACUUGCGGCAGGAGACUGGUUUUGUGUGAGUUUGCCUGGGGAAGAAAAUGGAGGUUCCACUGUCUUCUGGGAGUUUUCCGUGGGCACUGACAACCUGCUCGUGUGCCCAGGGCCAAAAUCUGUUAUUCCAUCUCAAUCUUAGAACCCACGAUCACAGCUCAUCCUGGGUUUAAAGGAGGGCCUAUGAGAUGAGAAGCUUUUUGGACAUAUGACCAACAUUCAGAUAAAACACCUGCUCCCACCAAGAACCUUCAAAGCCAAUUUCAUCUGCUUUUGGCCCCUUCAGAGUAGCUGCAAUUGAAGGAUAAAUGCUCCAUGCCAGUUGGUGUUUGUUCAGAGGACACUGGAAGAAGAGGGACAAAGGUGGCCUGGAUGUUGAUCUGCGAGCCUAAGUCUAUGGUUCUCUGAAGCGAAGGUGCCAGUGAAGUUGCUUCAUAAAAAAAAAAAACAAAAAAAAACCUUCCAGAAUCUUCCAUUGGAGAAUUGUCACCUGCAAAGACCUCUGAGAGGAUUCUCCCCUCAAGAGUAAAUUGUCAUAAGGGCUCCCCAUGACGGUUUAUUUUUGCUGUCUUUCCACGAUGGAGAAAAGAGAGAAGAUUGGAAAUGGGGCCGCGUGGAAAUGAAACCGGGACUCCAGGUGAAGAGACAGACACAGCCCCCCAGCAAAACGCAGAAGCGAGAGGAAACCCUGAAGACCCACGGUGGGUGCGGAAUUCUUGUGGGGGAGGGGAUCGCUCCUGCUUUUGCCGCAAAGGACAGGAGCUGUUGUCUGUCUUUGAGUCACGCGAACCACUUGCAGGAAGAGCUGUAGAGAAUUUGGGAAGUGGGGGGGGGGGGGGGGGUGGCUGGGAAGGAGAGACAAAAGGUGCGUUGUUUUCCGAGAAGCCGGAAGACGUAAGGAAAAGAAGCUGUUCUCAAGUGUGUCGCCUGCAGCCUUGUGAGGUAACAUUUCUUUAGAUGGCUUCUCUUCCCCUCCCUCGUGCCCAGCUGGCUCUUCAUCAUUUUUUAAACAUCUCUUUGGGGCGCAGGACAUGAAAGUGAACGGCAGGUCAAAGUCAGGAGUUCGGGGUUCUGGGGUGGUUUGGUCUGAUAGCCUCUCUUCCUCUGUGGCUGUGCCCUUAGUGGG